RNAcentral lists this ribosomal RNA (385 nucleotides) under Gryllotalpa sp. 1 PNG. RNAcentral describes it as "partial 12S ribosomal RNA". It matches the Rfam family "Microsporidia small subunit ribosomal RNA", at positions 752 to 1221 of the family's 1311-position model. Lineage: Eukaryota; Metazoa; Arthropoda; Insecta; Orthoptera; Gryllotalpidae. The record is from RNAcentral.
UAUUAUACUAAUUGUAAUUUUAGUCGUCAGGGUAGUAUAAUGUAAAGUUUGAAACCUAAAGAAUUUGGCGGUGUUUCAGUCUCUUUAGAGGAAUCUGUCCUGUAAUCGAUGCUACACGAUCAUUUUUACCUAAUUUGUGCUUGUAUACCGUCGUCAUCAGAUGAGUCUAUAAGGAUGUUUUCAUGAGACUAAUAAUGUUAUAUGUCAGAUCAAGGUGCAGUUUUUUUAGGAUGGGAGAUGGAUUACAAUAAUAAAAUUUAUUACGGAUUAUAGAUGUAAAAUUUAUAUGAAGGUGGAUUUAAAAGUAAAGUUGUUUUAGAUAAUAAUUUGGUUUGGGCUCUGGAAUGUGCACAUAUCGCCCGUCGCUCUCAUUAUUUAAGAUGAG